This is a non-coding RNA of Heterocephalus glaber (naked mole-rat), 4427 nucleotides long. NCBI's taxonomy places the organism in Eukaryota, Metazoa, Chordata, Mammalia, Rodentia, Bathyergidae. The record is from RefSeq and is a predicted model, not a curated record.
AAUCCCUGGCCACUCUAUCUUAUACUAAAACAGAAAACUUAAUUUGUUUUUCUAUCAGCAUUGAUUACAUAACUUAGUAUAGUUUUGGUAAUAAUACUUCAUCAUCAGAUGCAAAUUUAAGUAAGAACAUUAAAUUGACAUUUUUAUCCAAUUAAAAAUUACUAAAUAAAAAUAAAGGAAAAUCAGAAUAAAUCAAUUCUCAAUAUGAAUAUACGUUUUAAAUUUACACUAUAAUAUGCAUUCAUACAAUGCCCCAUAGUGCAGUUCUGCCUGAUACACUACAGAUAAUUUCCAGGAUGUUUUGGCUAUUAAAUGAACAGAAAUCAUUACUAAUUAAAAUGAGUAAUUAAGUAGUAUUAGAAAGGAAGUUACAAUUCUACAAUUUAAAAAAUAAUUAAUUUUCACAAUUUUGACCAUCCCUAAUCUGAAAAUCCCAAAUCCAAAAUGCUCCAAAAUCCAAAACUUUUUGAGCUUUCACAUGAUGCUGUGAGUAGAAAAUUCCAUACCUGACCUCAUGUAUGGAUGGCAGUCAAAUGCAGGUGGACUGAAAUAGCAUACAAAACUAUAUUCAGAAUGUAAGAUAUAUAUGAAAUAUAAAUGAAUUUCAUGUUUAGUCUUGGAUCCUAUCACCAACACAUCUCAUUAUGUAUAUGAACAAAUUAAAAAAACUCGAAAAUAUCUGAAACUCAAAACACUCCUGGGUCCCGGGCAUUUCAAAUGAGGGAUACUCAACCUGUAAUGGCUCUGCUGUAACCAUAUGAGUAGUUCUGACACUACAUAAAAGUGUUAUUAUAUUUAUUAUAAAGUAUUCUUUAUACUUUAGAGUAUUGACCUUGAAGAAGUCAAUCUAGGAAAGAUCAGAGAUGGUUUAGGGAGAGAAAGUUAGGUGGGGAAAAGAUUAAAUCCUACUUUAAGGACAAAGAACAAAAAGCCAAAAUGUUCCAGGAAAUAUUUCAAGUUCAUUACAUUAUUUCAAUUCACUUCUAUAUUUAAGUUAUCAGACUGUGAAACCUAAGAGGAUACAGAAUCAAAGAAUGAGCCAGUAUUUUUGCUAAGCUAUACUGUAACAUGAUGAUUAAACUUACUUUUCGGCAACAAAAUAGUAUAAUGAAUAUAAUGUUAUUUUUCUAUCUAUGCUGCAUGGUCUAUGAUCUCCACAUUACAGUCAAGAAGCAAAACCCAACCAAUCAACAACAAAACAAACUCAGGAAGUUAAUUAAGUUGCCUAGGCUUGGACUGCUGCGAGGCAGACAGGCUGGCAUGCAGGGAACUGAGAAAUGUCUUAUUCCACAAGUAGUUCAUGCUUUUUCACCUAAACUAACCUGUUGCUAUUCCCAAGGCAAUUAACAUUUUAGAAGACUUUUACACAAACGUUUAAAACAAACAAGGGCAGCAGAGCACUUAUAAGAAAGGUAGGAAUGUAGAAAAUAUAUACUUCAACCUCUUCCCUAAUUUUUUUCUCUAGCCCUGAAGUCACAUCUAAACCUCCUUGGGACAAGGAUUUAACAUAAAGCCUGGAGCAGAUGAAAGAAAAGUUAAUUCUCUCUAAAACUAUGAAGAAUAAUACAAGAUUAAACUUUCACAUACUCUUUCCAUAGAGAGAGCAGGAAAAAACAUCUUUCUUGAACUGUUUAUAUCCUAAUGGAAAAAAAUUAAAGUGGUUAAAAUACAACAAAAAAGCAGAAAUUUAAAAUAGGAGCAAAAGAAGUAAUAAUUAUAGGUAGAAAUAAGAUGAUGACAAAUUUGACAAAUUUUCAAAACCUAACAGCAGAAACAAUUACAACAAUGUGGAAAUACACUCAAUCAUUGUGAGCUCAAUCACAAAGAACUUUCAUAAAGAUCUGCCAAACAAUGAGCAACCCAGAUCAGAUACAAGCAAAACCACGACGGCAACAUCUGCCGAGUGACCUAACGCACCACACAAUACUUUAAUUGUUAAAGGGCGAAGCAGAUUCCGACGUGGCCUCCUAAGGCCGGACAAACGGGGUUCUGAGGGGAAUUGGGGUGAGAGGAACUGAGGCGCAGGGAUGACAGACAGUGCUACUGGACGACAAUGCCCAGGACUUUCACAGCCGCGCAGACAGUGUCCUUAGCACACGAACACCAUUUACAAGUGCCCAAAAGAACAGCCGAGCAUCACACAGCAGACCCAAGACACUGACUGAGAGGUGAAGAAGUACAGUGAUGUCACGGCCACAAGCACCCACAACGCUACGACUGCUCACAGCGACCGCACCGAAAACCUGGCAGAGCAUCCCGAGGAGAACAAGCAACUGAAAGGGCUUUGGGAGGAGCACACGGACGGGAGCAACCACCUCCCCUCCCCUCCCCUCCCCUCCCCGGCGGCUCGUCAGCACGCGUGGCUGAGACAUCCAUUGCUCUGUGAAUGCUCUCCCCUCGACACUCAACAGGACACUGAAACCCCAGCCCCACGCUACACAUGUGAGGUUCUUGCUUCUGAGCAGAGGGUCAGAAAACAUGAGGCCCAAGUGGCUGCUGAAGUCCAGUUAAAGGUGGAGAAUAUUCCACGGUAUGAGUCAACCAGCGGAUUCACUCAGUCCUCUACCGAGAACUGCCAAGAUGAUUCUCAUUGCUCCGGUUACAGUGGCAUUGCAAUGCGUGACCUCGUGCCUGUCAUUUUACCUCCUUGGGGCCCCGUUGACUUUCCAGCUGCACCUGGAGGGAGCUCUUCUCCCCGCCCCACUCUCCUGUCUCACUGACUGUCAGCACAGGCUGUUCCUGUUUCAAAUUCUCUUCCUGGUGGGGGGGGGCGCGCACAUGUUUGUAAUCCCAACACUCUGGGAGGCUGAGGCAGGAGGAUGGAAAGUUCAAGUCCUGCCUGGGCAACUUGGUGAGAUCCUAUCUCCAAAAAUUAAAAGAAAGGCUGGGGGUGCAAUUCAGUGUGGAGGUCUGGGUUCAGUCCCCAAUACUAAAAAACAAAAGAAAAGAAAUCCAACAACAAAACAACUCUCCCCGCAGACCUCCAGUCCACUGCUUUGCAUUCAGGUUCGGCCUCAAUGUCACCCCUCAAGACAGCCUUUGAGAUGCCCGCACCUGGCCGGGGGUCUGUCUCCUAUGUAUGCACGGUCUCCCUUCAUGACACCCACCAUAGCUCGUAUUUAUGUAACUGCUCGGUAAAUGCUUAGCUUCACUACUUGACUACUUCCCUACUUGACAAGACCUCUACAACUCUUUGCCGACAGAGCGACUGGACCAUGCAUGGAAAAGCAAUCUUGCUGGGGCUUACGCCUAGGGCCUUGUGCAUGUGAAGCAAGUGUUCUGCUGCUGAGUUACGUCUUCAGCCUGAAAAAUUAAUCUUAACCCCUGCACACAUUCUAUGUAGUUCCUAGACAUAUAAAGAGUUGUUUAUAAAAAAUAAAACAAGUUGCUGAUGUUGAUCUGGAUGUUUUUCUGUACCUUUUUGCUUCCUCCUCCUACGCAAGUGCUGCAGGCAGCGGAACAGUUUCAUAGAGAAUAUGCUUUGCCCACUAAAGGAGAGGGAAGUGAUCAGAUUUGCCCUCUUAUCUCCUCCUAGUAGACUCUCACAUGCUUCCAUGUCCAUGUUCCCCCAUGUGCUGCAUUUGCUGAAUGGAUUUGCUACACUAAGCCACACUACUGCCUGGGAAAUACAAAGGGCACAAAGCACCAGAGAGCUCUGUUUGCUUUCUCUUAACUAAGGUGGCCUAUAUUUUGCUUGGAACCAUAACAAGUAAGCAAAUGGCCUUAAUUCACAAAAAGAUAAAAGAUACAUAUUUAAAGGUCUUUAAAAGGAAAAAUAUUUGAAGAGUCCUAUUAACUGUGUCCUUAUUGCUAUGCAACUCAAUGUUGUUUAGUAAACAAAGAAAAGAAUAGCAGAGAUUAAUAAGAAUUGUUUUGGAUAAUGACAAACACAAAUACCAUGGAUAGAGAGAUAGAAAAUAUAGGUUAUACAUAGAACUCAAGUUUCUUAUUAACAGUAAAUGAAAUAUUAAUGCAUGCUCACACACACAGAAAUGUUAUCUUAUAUAUCUACCCCUCUUUAAGUUUGCCAGAGGAAAGAGGCUAGACUAAGAACAUACUAUAAAUACCUCAUUCUAAAAUAUAGCUCAGAGCCUAAUUCCUGAUCUGCCUCGAAAUUUUUUUUAAAAGUUUCAGAAAAGAAACAACAAAAACACUAAAACUUCCUACUGCAAUUACAGGGCUCUUAGUCCUGUACUCCAGGCCCAUUUGCUUCUGCUUCAUGAACUAUUCACCACUGUAGGAGAGAAGUCAGGCUGAGGGUGUGGCUCAGCUGGCAGAGUGUGUGCCUAAGGACAAGUGUCACUAUGGAACGAUUACCCCAUGAAUGAGAACUGAUGGAAAGCAGCCUCCAGUAAAAAAUAAGAAGAAAGAAAAAAAUGAAAAGGGCUGCAAAAAGUUGUUUACCAGGUCUUCAGAACAUCAAAUUA